This 343-nucleotide unclassified non-coding RNA is filed under the name soil metagenome. RNAcentral's name for it is "partial contains 5.8S ribosomal RNA, internal transcribed spacer 2, and large subunit ribosomal RNA". The stretch from base 1 to 120 matches the Rfam family "5.8S ribosomal RNA", at positions 35 to 154 of the family's 154-position model. The record is from RNAcentral.
GAUGAAGAACGCAGCGAAAUGCGAUAAGUAAUGUGAAUUGCAGAAUUCAGUGAAUCAUCGAAUCUUUGAACGCACAUUGCGCCCGCCAGCAUUCUGGCGGGCAUGCCUGUUCGAGCGUCAUUUCAACCCUCGAGCCCCCCCGGGGGCCUCGGUGUUGGGGGACGGCACACCAGCCGCCCCCAAAAUGCAGUGGCGACCCCGCCGCAGCCUCCCCUGCGUAGUAGCACACACCUCGCACCGGAGCGCGGAGGCGGUCACGCCGUAAAACGCCCAACUUUCUUAGAGUUGACCUCGGAUCAGGUAGGAAUACCCGCUGAACUUAAGCAUAUCAAUAAGCGGAGGA